This 625-nucleotide ribosomal RNA is filed under the name uncultured Actinomycetes bacterium. RNAcentral describes it as "bacterial SSU rRNA". It matches the Rfam family "Bacterial small subunit ribosomal RNA", at positions 35 to 668 of the family's 1533-position model. The record is from RNAcentral. Lineage: Bacteria; Bacillati; Actinomycetota; Actinomycetes.
GCUGGCGGCGUGCCUAAUGCAUGCAAGUCGAGGGAGAACCUCCUUAUUCGUAAGAAUCGGGUGGGGAAACCGGCGAACGGGUGAGUAACACGUGAGAAACCUGCCCUGGAGACUGGGAUAGCCCGAGGAAACUCGGAUUAAUACCGGAUACCUUCUACGGACCGCAUGGUCUGUUGAAGAAAUGGAUUCCGCUCCAGGAUGGUCUCGCGGCCUAUCAGCUAGUUGGCGGGGUAACGGCCCACCAAGGCUUCGACGGGUAGCUGGUCUGAGAGGACGAUCAGCCACACUGGAACUGAGACACGGUCCAGACUCCUACGGGAGGCAGCAGCAGGGAAUAUUGCACAAUGGGCGCAAGCCUGAUGCAGCGACGCCGCGUGCGGGAUGAAGGCCUUCGGGUUGUAAACCGCUUUCAGGAGGGACGAAAAUGACGGUACCUCCAGAAGAAGGCCCGGCCAACUACGUGCCAGCAGCCGCGGUAAUACGUAGGGGCCAAGCGUUGUCCGGAUUUAUUGGGCGUAAAGAGCUCGUAGGCGGUUUGGAAAGUCGGUCGUGAAAGCCCGAGGCUCAACCUCGGGACUGCGGUCGAAACUUCCAUGACUAGGGUCCGGUAGAGGUGAGUGGAAUU